RNAcentral lists this ribosomal RNA (253 nucleotides) under uncultured bacterium. RNAcentral describes it as "partial 16S ribosomal RNA". It matches the Rfam family "Bacterial small subunit ribosomal RNA", at positions 524 to 776 of the family's 1533-position model. The record is from RNAcentral.
GACGAACCGUGCGAACGUUGUUUGGAAUCACUGGGCAUAAAGGGCGCGUAGGCGGCUUAUCAAGUCAGGGGUGAAAUCCGGCAGCUCAACUGUCGAAGUGCCUUUGAUACUGAUGAGCUCGAGGGAGGUGGGGGUAUGCGGAACUUCCGGUGGAGCGGUGAAAUGCGUUGAUAUCGGAAGGAACGCCGGUGGCGAAAGCGGCGUACUGGACCUCUCCUGACGCUGAGGCGCGAAAGCCAGGGGAGCAAACGGG